Molecule: long non-coding RNA, 657 nt
Organism: Anas platyrhynchos (mallard)
Lineage: Eukaryota; Metazoa; Chordata; Aves; Anseriformes; Anatidae
Source: RefSeq, a predicted model, not a curated record
GAGCGGGGCGGGAGUCCCCCUCAGCGAGAGGUGAUCCCCGAGCCCUGCUGGAGCCUCCAGCAGCCCCUCUGCAGGCGAGGGGUCCUGCCGGUUUGGACGGUGCCAAAUCACCAAGCUUUUGGCCAAAGCUGCCCCUUUCUGAAGAGCAAAACCACAGAACGGUUCAGUUCCCUUCCACUCAAAGACGCCCAGUAGCUGAAAAAGUAGAAACGCCUUAUUUCUAGGGUUAAAAAACAAGGUUUGAGAGAUGAGAUCCACAACUUUGAAUAUCUUGAAAGACAUUUCGUCCCAGCAUCACGUAGUGCAGAGAGACAGUAGGUUAAAGUGACUUCUGCCCCUGGCCAGCACAAAAAGCAGGAAUGGGAAGGUGCUGGUGCCAUGAGGCCUACAGGAUUGCCCUGAGUUCAUGCUGAAUUUGCUCUUACUGUGGUGUCAAGGAAUGCAAGAAGCUAUUUGAGUGUCACGCAAGCAGAGGAUAUUACCCUGAAGACUGAGCAGAGAUCUAGACUGUUGAAUCCAAGAUACAGGACACAUCCCACAGCACCGUGGGUCUGGAGCUAAACAGAGACAGGUAAAAUUGCCAAAUCAGAAAUGUGAUCCUGUAAGAUGUGCACGAGUCACCACGGUUGAAGUUCUUUUGACUGCAGAAUCAAAGCA